This 471-nucleotide ribosomal RNA is filed under the name uncultured bacterium. RNAcentral describes it as "bacterial SSU rRNA". It matches the Rfam family "Bacterial small subunit ribosomal RNA", at positions 29 to 506 of the family's 1533-position model. The record is from RNAcentral.
ACUAACGCUGGCGGCGUGCCUAACACAUGCAAGUCGAACGUGCUUGUUUUUGAUAGCAAUAUUGGAAACAGGAAAGUGGCGAACGGGUGAGUAACACGUAGGUAAUCUGCCUCUGGGAUGGGGAAAACUCAGGGAAACUUGAGUUAAUACCCAAUAAGCCCACGCUCCGGGAGGGGUGCGGGAAAAAGGCGCAAGUCGCCUGGAGAUGAGCCUGCGGCCUAUCAGCUAGUUGGUGGGGUAACUGCCUACCAAGGCUAAGACGGGUAACCGGCCUGAGAGGGUGAACGGUCACACUGGGACUGAGACACGGCCCAGACUCCUACGGGAGGCAGCAGUGAGGAAUUUUCCGCAAUGGGCGCAAGCCUGACGGAGCGACGCCGCGUGAAGGAUGAAGGCUUUCGGGUCGUAAACUUCUUUUGUGGGGGACAAGUUGAUGAUGGUACUCCACGAAUAAGCCCCGGCUAACUACGU